RNAcentral lists this ribosomal RNA (253 nucleotides) under uncultured bacterium. Its description in RNAcentral is "partial 16S ribosomal RNA". It matches the Rfam family "Bacterial small subunit ribosomal RNA", at positions 524 to 776 of the family's 1533-position model. The record is from RNAcentral.
UACGGAAGGGGCUAGCGGUGUUCGGCAUUACUGGGCGUAAAGAGCGCGUAGGCGGCUUACCAAGUUGGGGGUGAAAUCCCGGAGCUCAACUCCGGAACUGCCUUCAAAACUGGUAGGCUCGAGUCCGGAAGAGGGGCGUGGAAUUCCCAGUGUAGAGGUGAAAUUCGUAGAUAUUGGGAAGAACACCGGUGGCGAAGGCGGCGCCCUGGUCCGGUACUGACACUGAGGCGCGAAAGCGUGGGGAGCAAACAGG